This 402-nucleotide long non-coding RNA is filed under the name Ictidomys tridecemlineatus (thirteen-lined ground squirrel). RNAcentral's name for it is "lncRNA (ENSSTOG00000030765.1)". Lineage: Eukaryota; Metazoa; Chordata; Mammalia; Rodentia; Sciuridae. The record is from RNAcentral.
AAUGCACUGGUGCUUUACGGAAAAGCAGGUUCCAUUAAUUUCCAUCGGCCAGAGGAAAUGAAUUAAUUUCCACUCCGAGGACCAGCCUGCAGUGUAGUCUUCAGAUCUCAGGAAUAAUCAGGGAACCCAGUUGCUGGAUGUUUAGAUGAAUGAACAAAAUAAGCCUCGCACUUGGUCAGCACAGAUGACAGAAAAACCGCUCGGUGACCGCAUCGCCUCCAGUCUCCUGGUUGCUCAUCAAGGAAGCUCAUAAUCUUCCAGGCAGAGGCGGUGGAAGGAGCCUGGGCAAGGAGACACAUAGAGGAGGAGGGAUUCGCUGCACCUGGGCAGGUCAAGGCCACAGGGAAGAACGUAUGGUGUCUUCAAGGGUGAGCAGGAGCCUGCCAGGUGGAGCAGCAGAAG